UCCUACGGGAGGCAGCAGUAGGGAAUUUUCGUCAAUGGGGGGAACCCUGAACGAGCAAUGCCGCGUGAGUGAGGAAGGUCUUCGGAUACGUAAAGCUCUGUUGUAAGAGAAAAACGGCACUCAUAGGGAAUGAUGAGUGAGUGAUGGUAUCUUACCAGAAAGUCACGGCUAACUACGUGC
RNAcentral lists this ribosomal RNA (180 nucleotides) under uncultured bacterium. RNAcentral's name for it is "partial 16S ribosomal RNA". It matches the Rfam family "Bacterial small subunit ribosomal RNA", at positions 337 to 508 of the family's 1533-position model. The record is from RNAcentral.